Molecule: ribosomal RNA, 1383 nt
Filed under: uncultured bacterium
Lineage: Bacteria
Description: 16S ribosomal RNA
Rfam family: Bacterial small subunit ribosomal RNA
Source: RNAcentral
UUCCCCCUUAGAGUUUGAUCCUGGCUCAGGACCCUUGCUGGCGGCGUGCCUAACACAUGCAAGUCGAGCGGAGAGCUGGCUUCGGCCAGAUCUUAGCGGCGGACGGGUGAGUAACGCGUGAGCAACCUUUCCCAAACAGGGGGAUAAGAUACCGAAAGGUGUUCUAAUACCGCAUAAGACCACAGGGUGACAUCGCUCAGGGGUAAAAGGAGCAAUUCGGUUUGGGGUGAGCUCGCGUCCGAUUAGAUAGUUGGUGAGGUAACGGCCCACCAAGUCAACGAUCGGUAGCCGACCUGAGAGGGUGAUCGGCCACAUUGGAACUGAGACACGGUCCAAACUCCUACGGGAGGCAGCAGUGGGGAAUAUUGGGCAAUGGGCGAAAGCCUGACCCAGCAACGCCGCGUGAGGGAAGAAGGUUCUCGGAUUGUAAACCUCUGUCCUUGGUGACGAAGGAAGUGACGGUAGCCAAGGAGGAAGCCCCGGCUAACUACGUGCCAGCAGCCGCGGUAAUACGUAGGGGGCUAGCGUUGUCCGGAAUGACUGGGCGUAAAGGGCGUGUAGGCGGCCGAUUAAGUCUGGAGUGAAAGUCCUGCUUUCAAGGUGGGAAUUGCUUUGGAGACUGGUUGGCUUGAGUGCGGAAGAGGUAAGUGGAAUUCCCAGUGUAGCGGUGAAAUGCGUAGAGAUUGGGAGGAACACCAGUGGCGAAGGCGACUUACUGGGCCGUAACUGACGCUGAGGCGCGAAAGCGUGGGGAGCGAACAGGAUUAGAUACCCUGGUAGUCCACGCUGUAAACGAUGAGCACUAGGUGUGGGAGUCGCAAUGCUUUCGGUGCCGCAGUUAACGCAUUAAGUGCUCCGCCUGGGGAGUACGUACGCAAGUAUAAAACUCAAAGGAAUUGACGGGGACCCGCACAAGCAGCGGAGCAUGUGGUUUAAUUCGAAGCAACGCGAAGAACCUUACCAGGACUUGACAUCCCGAUGACCGGUCUUUAAUCGGACCUUCUCUUCGGAGCAUCGGUGACAGGUGGUGCAUGGUUGUCGUCAGCUCGUGUCGUGAGAUGUUGGGUUAAGUCCCGCAACGAGCGCAACCCUUGCUAAUAGUUGCCAUCAUUCAGUUGGGUACUCUAUUGGGACUGCCGGGGAUAACUCGGAGGAAGGUGGGGAUGACGUCAAAUCAUCAUGCCCCUUAUGUUCUGGGCUACACACGUGCUACAAUGGUCGGUACAAAAAGCAGCAAUCCCGUGAGGAGGAGCCAAUCUCAAAAACCGAUCCCAGUUCGGACUGUAGGCUGCAACUCGCCUACACGAAGUUGGAGUUGCUAGUAAUCGUGGAUCAGAAUGCCACGGUGAAUGCGUUCCCGGGUCUUGCACUCACCGCCCGUCA